UAGGGUUUGAUCCUGGCUCAGGAUGAACGCUAGCGGCAGGCCUAAUACAUGCAAGUCGAACGGGAUUUGAGUAGCAAUACUUAAUGAGAGUGGCGCACGGGUGCGUAACGCGUAUGCAACCUACCUUUAACAGGGGGAUAGCUCCGAGAAAUCGAAAUUAAUACCCCAUAGAAUUAUUGAUUGGCAUCAAUUAAUAAUUAAAGCUCCGGCGGUUAAAGAUGGGCAUGCGUGCCAUUAGCUAGUUGGUGAGGUAACGGCUCACCAAGGCAACGAUGGCUAGGGGUUCUGAGAGGAUUAUCCCCCACACUGGUACUGAGACACGGACCAGACUCCUACGGGAGGCAGCAGUAAGGAAUAUUGGGCAAUGGACGCAAGUCUGACCCAGCCAUGCCGCGUGCAGGAAGACAGCCCUAUGGGUUGUAAACUGCUUUUGUCAGGGAAUAAACCCCCGGAUGUAUCCGGGGCUGAAUGUACCUGAAGAAUAAGCAUCGGCUAACUCCGUGCCAGCAGCCGCGGU
This 517-nucleotide ribosomal RNA is filed under the name uncultured bacterium. RNAcentral's name for it is "bacterial SSU rRNA". It matches the Rfam family "Bacterial small subunit ribosomal RNA", at positions 1 to 521 of the family's 1533-position model. The record is from RNAcentral.